AGAAAGGCAAACCCCGGAUUUUCGUGCCAAUGUUUAACUGUCCGUCUUAUAUGAAAUUUUUUUAUAAUUAGUAUUUUUUGUUGUUGUUAGAUGAUAAAACAUGAUUAAUACUUUAUACGUGACUUAUCUUUUUAAUUUUUUUCAUAUUUUUUUAAAUAAGACGGACGGUUAAACGUUGGACACGGAAAUCAGGGUUUGUCUUUUU
Oryza rufipogon (brownbeard rice) is the source of this 205-nucleotide microRNA precursor. It matches the Rfam family "MIR812 microRNA precursor family". The record is from Rfam. NCBI's taxonomy places the organism in Eukaryota, Viridiplantae, Streptophyta, Magnoliopsida, Poales, Poaceae.